Molecule: ribosomal RNA, 433 nt
Filed under: uncultured bacterium
Lineage: Bacteria
Description: partial 16S ribosomal RNA
Rfam family: Bacterial small subunit ribosomal RNA
Source: RNAcentral
AACGAACGCUGGCGGCAUGCCUAACACAUGCAAGUCGAACGAGACCAUCGGGUCUAGUGGCGCACGGGUGCGUAACGCGUGGGAACCUGCCCUUAGGUUCGGAAUAACUCCCCGAAAGGGGUGCUAAUACCGGAUAAUGUCUUCGGACCAAAGAUUUAUCGCCUUUGGAUGGGCCCGCGUGGGAUUAGCUAGUUGGUAGGGUAAAAGCCUACCAAGGCGACGAUCCAUAGCUGGUCUGAGAGGAUGAUCAGCCACACUGGGACUGAGACACGGCCCAGACUCCUACGGGAGGGAGCAGUGGGGAAUAGUGGACAAUGGGCGAAAGCCUGAUCCAGCAAUGCCGCGUGAGUGAUGAAGGCCGUAGGGUUGUAAAGCUCUUUUAACCGGGAAGAUAAUGACAGUACCGGGAGAAUAAGCUCCGGCUAACUACGUG